RNAcentral lists this small nuclear RNA (20 nucleotides) under Arabidopsis thaliana (thale cress). Its description in RNAcentral is "snRNA_02876". Lineage: Eukaryota; Viridiplantae; Streptophyta; Magnoliopsida; Brassicales; Brassicaceae. The record is from RNAcentral.
UACAAGGAAAGACUGGUCUG